RNAcentral lists this ribosomal RNA (253 nucleotides) under uncultured bacterium. RNAcentral describes it as "partial 16S ribosomal RNA". It matches the Rfam family "Bacterial small subunit ribosomal RNA", at positions 524 to 776 of the family's 1533-position model. The record is from RNAcentral.
UACGUAGGGGGCAAGCGUUGUCCGGAAUCAUUGGGCGUAAAGCGCGCGUAGGUGGCUUCGUAAGUCCGUUGUGAAAGUCAAAGGCUCAACCUUUGAAAGCCGAUGGAUACUGUGAAGCUAGAGUACGGAAGAGGCGAGUGGAAUCCCUGGUGUAGCGGUGGAAUGCGCAGAUAUCAGGAGGAACACCAAUAGCGAAGGCAGCUCGCUGGGACGUUACUGACACUGAGGCGCGAAAGCGUGGGGAGCGAACAGG